CGAUGGUUCGGUGGUAUCAGAGCCAAGAGUGAAAGAAUAGGAAUGGACCUAGAGACCCUUACGAUUGGAAGACCUUAAGGAUCUAGGAAACGUGAGUGACGUGGAAUUAAAGUUAGCGAAAGCAUGUGAUUGGGUUAAGUUGGGACGUCUCUAAUGUGAUUAGAGGCUAAGUCUAAUUUUCGUUUAUCCUCUACUUCUAGUGUUGUGUCGGGCGGCCGACGACAUGACGUUUGGGGCAAGGAUGAAUGUGCAUGUUGCUUUCGCCGGAUUGGGUAUGGUCGAGUAAUGUUGGUCGUGUGGCUAAUGCGAGUUGCUUCUUUUCAGGAAGCAAUGGCACUUCAUGGACGACCGCAGACAAGGUCGAUGCCGGAGGAGUCGAAUGUGGCGCCCGAGCGAUCCGGAGCAAGUGGCGACGGAGAGCUUAGGGAGCAGAUGGCCGCGCUCAUUGGCGUAGUACGGCAACAAGCGGAGUCUGUUCAACGCCAAGGGGAGCAGAUUCAGCGGCUUCAGGGGGCCUUGGAGCGUCAGCAGGCGGCGGCCUAGGCGGGUGUCGAGCAUGUCGUGCCCCCUGUGGUAGUGCCGGGCGUGGACGAGGGAGCGGCGGCAACGGCGGCUGUCCCAGUUACGGUAGUACCAGCCGGAUCGGGAACCUCAAAUCCCGAUAGUGCGGCGGUAGAGGCGGAGUGAGAGCGCACGUUGGCGGCUCU
RNAcentral lists this long non-coding RNA (707 nucleotides) under Ananas comosus (pineapple). RNAcentral's name for it is "long non-coding RNA (ACOM_LNC041566)". The record is from RNAcentral. Lineage: Eukaryota; Viridiplantae; Streptophyta; Magnoliopsida; Poales; Bromeliaceae.